Molecule: signal recognition particle RNA, 308 nt
Filed under: Gossypium hirsutum (cotton)
Lineage: Eukaryota; Viridiplantae; Streptophyta; Magnoliopsida; Malvales; Malvaceae
Description: Plant signal recognition particle RNA
Rfam family: Plant signal recognition particle RNA
Source: Rfam by way of RNAcentral
GCCGAGCUUGGUAACGCUAGCUUGUAACCUGUGUGGGGGCUUUAAGGUGAUGGAACAUGGGGCUGGCUUGCAGAGUCGGAUCCUGAGUUGGUCCAAAUCUGGCUUUGCCCGUUCCAAGCUAAGAGCUGAACGGAGGGGCUUGAGUGUAAACUUUGAGCCUCGUGGUUCCUAGAGUGGAGGGUACUGCGUGAGGCUGGUUUCACAGAGCAGCGAAGACCUCCCUCUCUUAGCAGUGGAAGGAUAACAGGCUUGAUCCUCUCUAAUCCAACAUGUCUCAGUGAGCUGAUCCUAACUGGACCAUCACCAUU